CAAAAAACGAAAGGUAUUCAUGUCUAUACUCGAAGUUAGACCACCGCAUGUCUCUAAGUAUAACAGCGGAAAGCGCAUCCAAGAAUGUUCGUAAUGUUUGCGAAUUAUCAGUACUGUUUGUGAAUGAGAAGAGGCGAAAUAAUACAAAUUGCAGCGAUGGAAGUUGGCAAGACGGAGCGAGGGUCAAGGGCGAAAAUGCCGCUGAAAUAUAUUUGGUCAAUCUGUCAUGCGACGCCGUCUUUGUCGGUUAGUGCAGAUCCAUGUCUGCCAAUUCGGACCCCGUUUGUUGAGACGCAAUCCUUUCGUUGAAGAAGAAUAUAAUGGAAGUGUACAACUGCUAUAUGGUGUUAUUGGUUUUGGCAAUUACGGGCGCCGUGAUGCCAACGGCUGCAGUCUGGGGCGUGGUAGGAAAAUACAAAGGGAGCGACAGUCAUCUUUUCGCAUUAGGCAUAAUUCCUGUCGGGAUAGGCGUUUUUGGCCACUACCUUAUUCGUAAUAAACGAAUGGGCAAAGAUUACUAUGGGUUUGCGUAUGGAAAUGAUGGCCAAUAUCGAAGAUGAUGAUAAGUAAACUCUUUAAAAAAAGAACAUAAAAAGAAACAAAAAGAAAAAGGAAAAGAACAUAAAACAUUUUCCUUAAAGCAAUAAAAUGUUGACCAUAAGUGUAACCGAA
Long non-coding RNA from Varroa destructor (honeybee mite), 672 nucleotides. Lineage: Eukaryota; Metazoa; Arthropoda; Arachnida; Mesostigmata; Varroidae. The record is from RefSeq and is a predicted model, not a curated record.